UACGAAGGGGGCUAGCGUUGCUCGGAAUUACUGGGCGUAAAGCGCACGUAGGCGGCUUUCUAAGUCGGGGGUGAAAUCCUGGAGCUCAACUCCAGAACUGCCUUCGAUACUGGAGAGCUUGAGUCCGGGAGAGGUGAGUGGAACUGCGAGUGUAGAGGUGAAAUUCGUAGAUAUUCGUAAGAACACCAGUGGCGAAGGCGGCUCACUGGCCCGGUACUGACGCUGAGGUGCGAAAGCGUGGGGAGCAAACAGG
RNAcentral lists this ribosomal RNA (253 nucleotides) under uncultured bacterium. Its description in RNAcentral is "partial 16S ribosomal RNA". It matches the Rfam family "Bacterial small subunit ribosomal RNA", at positions 524 to 776 of the family's 1533-position model. The record is from RNAcentral.